CUUCAUUGCAGCAUGCAGGCUCUUUAGCUGUGGCAUGUGGAAUUGUUAGCUGUGGCAUGUGGUACCUAGUUCCUGACCAGGGAUCAAAGCCAGGCCUCCUGCAUUGGGAGUGUGGAGUCUUAUCCACUGGACCACCAGGGAAGUUCCCAUUGAGGGCCAUCUUGAGAGGUUCUGCCCUUUGGAAAGGUAACUCCACAUACUGACAGAGGACUUCUGGGCCGACGAGGACAUAAGGCAAGUGGGAAGUAGGCUGAAAAACA
This 260-nucleotide long non-coding RNA is filed under the name Capra hircus (goat). Its description in RNAcentral is "lncRNA (ENSCHIG00000004324.1)". The record is from RNAcentral. Lineage: Eukaryota; Metazoa; Chordata; Mammalia; Artiodactyla; Bovidae.